AAGAGGGAAUCCGGUGAGACUCCGGAGCUGACCCGCAGCGGUAUGUCGGAACGACCGCCGUCACACGCACUGGGACCGCCCCGCCCGAGCCACGGCUCACCGGCGGCGGCGCCUGGGAAGCGACGGCCAGUAGAAGCGGGCUCCAUUCCUGGCCCGCGCGCCGACGAGCCCGAAGACCU
RNAcentral lists this non-coding RNA (179 nucleotides) under Gordonia sihwensis. The record is from RNAcentral. Lineage: Bacteria; Bacillati; Actinomycetota; Actinomycetes; Mycobacteriales; Gordoniaceae.